CCAAUAGCGUAUAUUAAAGUUGUUGCAGUUAAAAAGCUCGUAGUUGAAUUUCGGGGUCAGCAUGUUGGUCAUGCCACUGGUAUGCACUGGCUUUACUGAUUCCUCCUUCUUGAAGAACUGUAAUGCUAUUAAUUUAGUGUUGCGGGGAAACUGGACUGUUACUUUGAAAAAAUUAGAGUGUUUAAAGCAGGCUAACGCCUGAAUACAUUAGCAUGGAAUAAUGAAAUAGGACGUUUGUCCUAUUUUGUUGGUUUCUAGGAUUGACGUAAUGAUUAAUAGGGAUAGUUGGGGGCAUUAGUAUUCAAUUGUCAGAGGUGAAAUUCUUGGAUUUAUUGAAGACUAACUACUGCGAAAGCAUUUGCCAAGGAUGUUUUCAUUAAUCAAGAACGAAAGUUAGGGGAUCGAAGACGAUCAGAUACCGUCGUAGUCUUAACCAUAAACUAUGCCGACUAGGGAUCGGAUGAUGUUAAUUUUUUAAUGACUCAUUCGGCGCCUUACG
This 499-nucleotide ribosomal RNA is filed under the name uncultured Glomeromycotina. RNAcentral's name for it is "partial small subunit ribosomal RNA". It matches the Rfam family "Eukaryotic small subunit ribosomal RNA", at positions 591 to 1092 of the family's 1831-position model. The record is from RNAcentral. Lineage: Eukaryota; Fungi; Glomeromycota.